UACAGAGGGUGCAAGCGUUAAUCGGAAUUACUGGGCGUAAAGCGUGCGUAGUCGGUUAUUCAAGUCGGGCGUGAAAGCCCCGGGCUCAACCUGGGAAUUGCGUUCGAUACUGUUUAGCUAGAGUUCGGCAGAGGGAAGUGGAAUUUCCGGUGUAGCGGUGAAAUGCGUAGAUAUCGGAAGGAACAUCAGUGGCGAAAGCGACUUCCUGGACCAGAACUGACGAUCAGGCACGAAAGCGUGGGGAGCAAACAGG
RNAcentral lists this ribosomal RNA (253 nucleotides) under uncultured bacterium. RNAcentral describes it as "partial 16S ribosomal RNA". It matches the Rfam family "Bacterial small subunit ribosomal RNA", at positions 524 to 776 of the family's 1533-position model. The record is from RNAcentral.